UACGUAGGGUGCAAGCGUUAAUCGGAAUUACUGGGCGUAAAGCGCGUGUAGGCGGCCUUCUAAGUCUGGUGUGAAAGCCCGGGGCUCAACCCCGGAAGUGCAUUGGAUACUGGGAGGCUGGAGUACCGGAGAGGAGGGUGGAAUUCCUGGUGUAGCGGUGAAAUGCGUAGAUAUCAGGAGGAACACCGGUGGCGAAGGCGGCCCUCUGGACGGAUACUGACGCUGAGACGCGAAAGCGUGGGGAGCAAACAGG
Molecule: ribosomal RNA, 253 nt
Filed under: uncultured bacterium
Lineage: Bacteria
Description: partial 16S ribosomal RNA
Rfam family: Bacterial small subunit ribosomal RNA
Source: RNAcentral